UUUUAAGUCUUCCACGUCUAGCAUAUAUAUUUGCAGCAACUUCUCUUAAAAAUUAAUCAUUCACUUAAGAAAUCCUAGGCAGCAUCUAUUUUACAAUAUUAAUGACCUUUUAGUUCUUGGACUAUACAUUUAGUUCCUAAGAAGAUUAAGCAGCAACGUUGAAAUACUUUUAAAGAGAGAAGCUCCUAAGCCAUGGCAAUUCACGGCCAUGACAGCUCUUAAAGCUCACAACCAUGGCAGCCCUUGAAAGCUCACGGCCAGCUCCAAUAUGGUGAAAGGAAGGGAAUUUUAAUUCCAUAAAAGUGUUCUAGGGACUUAAAGGAGCAGCAAGGUUAGAGUUUAAGUUGAAGAAGAUAAAGUGGUGCAAAUGGUGCAAGUUAUUGUAGGGCCGUCCAAAUUAAAUUUGAGACCUUGUCCGUUCGGAAGCACUUCAGAAGGAAAAAGCUUUGGCGUGAAAGUUCGUGACACCUGUUCAGCAUUGAGAGUUAUUUUCAGGUGAUGUUCGGAGUCUCACGGCCGUUUCGAGGCAUUCGUCAAAGGCGUUUGGGUGAGCUAUUUGAGAUCUUGCAACCCAGAGUCUCUCCUUAGAUUUCUGUUGUUCUCUAUCCUUAAACAGAAGUCGUAUCCAGUUUGAGUCUGUUAUCUACUUCAAAUUGUAAACUUCUUAGAAGCUCUUGUAUGAGUCUAGACCAGGUUUUGGGAAUUUCUUAUAAUAAAAGUAUUUAUUCCG
Lycium barbarum (goji berry) is the source of this 730-nucleotide long non-coding RNA. RefSeq lists it as uncharacterized. The transcript has 3 exons. NCBI's taxonomy places the organism in Eukaryota, Viridiplantae, Streptophyta, Magnoliopsida, Solanales, Solanaceae. The record is from RefSeq and is a predicted model, not a curated record.